Arabidopsis thaliana (thale cress) is the source of this 230-nucleotide long non-coding RNA. RefSeq annotates it as other RNA. The record is from RefSeq. The transcript has a single exon. Lineage: Eukaryota; Viridiplantae; Streptophyta; Magnoliopsida; Brassicales; Brassicaceae.
UUAGAGACUCCAGAAUUGGAUGAUCCAUCUUUUUUUUUUUUGAUCAAAAAGAUUGGAUGAUCCAUCAUGAGACAACACUGAAAUACUUUUGUUACAUAAAAUCUAUUUUCUCAAAUAUGGUUGGACGACGACAAAUUAUGGGAGCCACUCCUUUUUAUAUACUUCCUGGCAAUUGUGGGAGAACACUAGUACUACUUCUUUUGUAUAUGCGUUUUCUUUUGUGUGCUCUC